This 957-nucleotide unclassified non-coding RNA is filed under the name uncultured Bradyrhizobium sp. RNAcentral's name for it is "partial 16S-23S ribosomal RNA intergenic spacer". The stretch from base 844 to 957 matches the Rfam family "Bacterial large subunit ribosomal RNA", at positions 1 to 113 of the family's 2925-position model. Lineage: Bacteria; Pseudomonadati; Pseudomonadota; Alphaproteobacteria; Hyphomicrobiales; Nitrobacteraceae. The record is from RNAcentral.
CCACGUUUGUCGAUACUUUGUUCAGUUUUGAAGAAGGUCUACUCUCAAAAUUUUGUUCUUUGAAAACUGGAUAUUGAAGUAAAAAUGUAAUUAAUACAAACCGAGAACACCGCGUUGAAUGAGUUUUUUAAUAAGUUCAAUUGCUUAUUUUUCUUGAUUGGACUUCUAUCGCUAGAAGAAAGAUCAAAACCCAACCGCAAGGUUGAUAAGGUUAAGUGAAUAAGGGCGCACGGUGGAUGCCUUGGCACUAGGAGCCGAUGAAGGACGGGACUAACACCGAUAUGCUUUGGGGAGCUGUACGUGAGCUAUGAUCCAGAGAUUUCCGAAUGGGAACCCGGACUUGGCACUAUGAGCCCAUGAACGACGGGACUAACACCGAUCUGCUUUGGGGAGCUGUACGUAAGCUAUGAUCCAUACAUUUCCGAACGGGAACCCGGAGUCAUCGACUGAUCGUGCACCUACAAUCGUCCGCGAAACAUCACUUCGCAUCUUGCUAGUCUGGAUAGACAGCAAGUUGCGUGAUUUCUGACAUCGUAAAGAGGAGAUCGAUCCGAGUUGGAUCGUGCAGCAAGCAAUUGCUACGCGAGACUUCAUUAUCUCCGGAUCAUUUCGGCGCUCGUGCGUCUUUCAAUGGUAGCUCACAAGGCUGCGCUGGAAAGACAAGCGAGUUGUAAAUGAUCCUUUUAGCGAAGCUUGACCGCCUCGCUAUCGGAACGAUCUUACGAAGCAAGCUGGUCUUUCUAAUCAUUGUCCGGCUGCAGAUAGCGUUCAUCGAGGGCGCGUGCCGCAAGGUAAUUCUGCAGACAACAUUCUGCCGAGUGUGUGGACAUUGAUAAUGAGAGCAAUCAAGUGCCUUAAGGGUGUUCGGUGGAUGCCUUGGCGCUGAGAGGCGAUGAAGGACGUGCUACGCUGCGAUAAGCCGUGGGGAGCUGCGAAGAAGCUUUGAUCCAUGGAUUU